This is a long non-coding RNA of Lolium rigidum, 1382 nucleotides long. RefSeq lists it as uncharacterized. NCBI's taxonomy places the organism in Eukaryota, Viridiplantae, Streptophyta, Magnoliopsida, Poales, Poaceae. The record is from RefSeq and is a predicted model, not a curated record. The transcript is spliced from 4 exons.
GAGUGGCCUAUGCGUUGCUUCAGCGAAAAAAAGAGUGGAUGGAGCUGCUGUCACCUACCACUGGCUUCUUCCCUGGAGGAUGGAUCUUUGCAAUGGAUCCACGCGAGCAGCGGGCGGAGUUGUGCUGGGGCUGGCAGAAGAAGGCGGGGAUCUGGAAGGGCAUCUCCUCGAGGCUAUCUCUGUUCCUCUUCGCUUCGUCGGCGAGUGAGCCGCCGGGCUGAGAAACAAUUGAUGCUACGGGUUCCACCUGCGGCAAUCCGGGAGCCGCGGCAGCGGAGUGCAUAGGGCGAGCAGAGUGAAGCGUAGAUGCCUCCAUUCUGCCGGGCGGGUCAGCACCUGUCGACUUCACUGCGAGCAGUGAUUAAUCGUCCUUCGCGCCGUCUGCCGCAAGGAUUGAUGGUCUGGCGACAAUGACUGAAUGGACAGCGCAAGUGCUCAUGUAGGCAGUGACAAAAAGAUAUAUCGAAAAUUCAAGAAAAUGGUAAAGGGAUGGAUAAUGGAUGCAGGUGUGAACAAAGUACCAGGUGAUCAACGGACAUGAAUCCUAUCUCAUAGAGUUUAUGCUGCUUGUUCAUGUUCUCCCACAUCCAUGUGAUGUGCACAACAGCACACCUCGGAGAUCCUAAAGGUGAACAGUAAAGUGCAGACAAUCAGGAUAAGGGAAAACAACAGAGAUAUGUCAUGUGCAAACAGCGAGCAACGCAAUGAUGAACGGAAGAUCCACCCUGACCGAGAACACAAACUGAAGAAUCAGGCGAAUAAUGGUGAACAGAACCACCAGCCGGCAGAGGAACCAGAGGCAGCAGGCAGAAAAGGAACAACCAGAGCUGCGAAGCAAUGACCACGGCUAGUAGCCGCAGCGGGAACAACACUGUGGAGACGACGAUCCCGGUAUGGAGGCGGAGAAACCGAAGACGAAUGUGGUCGUACACGCCGACGAACAGGUCCCCAGCGUACACGUCCAACAGUCUGCAUAACAGCUGGAGAAUCAGAAGCAAGGAAGAUGGAAACCCCAAACUGCAAAUGAUCGAAGCCACCGGAGACAUCGGCAGCAACGGAAUCAACAACUGGAGCACCAAGCAGCACGUCCACGGGAACGCGAUGAGCAAGGUCCUGACGACCUAGAAGACAGGUCACCGAGGCGAUGACAACAACGGAGCGCCGAAGAUGGAGGCAAGGGCACGGACGUGCGAAGCCGGCGACAUAAUGGACAGCACGGGGCGAGUGGGACGGACGACGGAUCCAGCAGCAACAUGGAUGGCAGCUGAGCAGGAAAGAAGGUAGGUCGUCCAGCCCACGGUGCCGCGGCAGAAGCAACCCGAGAGACGGCGGUGCAGAAGCCGGCAGAGGCGGCGGCGCAGAAGUCGGCCGAUCACGCCUAC